RNAcentral lists this ribosomal RNA (800 nucleotides) under uncultured bacterium. RNAcentral's name for it is "bacterial SSU rRNA". It matches the Rfam family "Bacterial small subunit ribosomal RNA", at positions 8 to 788 of the family's 1533-position model. The record is from RNAcentral.
AGAGUUUGAUCCUGGCUCAGGAUGAACGCUGGCGGCGUGCCUAAUACAUGCAAGUCGAGCGAAUUGAUUAAGAGCUUGCUCUUAUGAAGUUAGCGGCGGACGGGUGAGUAACACGAGGGUAACCUGCCCAUAAGACUGGGAUAACUCCGGGAAACCGGGGCUAAUACCGGAUAACAUUUUGAACUGCAUGGUUCGAAAUUGAAAGGCGGCUUCGGCUGUCACUUAUGGAUGGACCCGCGUCGCAUUAGCUAGUUGGUGAGGUAACGGCUCACCAAGGCAACGAUGCGUAGCCGACCUGAGAGGGUGAUCGGCCACACUGGGACUGAGACACGGCCCAGACUCCUACGGGAGGCAGCAGUAGGGAAUCUUCCGCAAUGGACGAAAGUCUGACGGAGCAACGCCGCGUGAGUGAUGAAGGCUUUCGGGUCGUAAAACUCUGUUGUUAGGGAAGAACAAGUGCUAGUUGAAUAAGCUGGCACCUUGACGGUACCUAACCAGAAAGCCACGGCUAACUGCGUGCCAGCAGCCGCGGUAAUACGUAGGUGGCAAGCGUUAUCCGGAAUUAUUGGGCGUAAAGCGCGCGCAGGUGGUUUCUUAAGUCUGAUGUGAAAGCCCACGGCUCAACCGUGGAGGGUCAUUGGAAACUGGGAGACUUGAGUGCAGAAGAGGAAAGUGGAAUUCCAUGUGUAGCGGUGAAAUGCGUAGAGAUAUGGAGGAACACCAGUGGCGAAGGCGACUUUCUGGUCUGUAACUGACACUGAGGCGCGAAAGCGUGGGGAGCAAACAGGAUUAGAUACCCU